AUGCAGUCGAACGGUGAAGCAGAGCUUGCUCUGUGGAUCAGUGGCGAACGGGUGAGUAACACGUGAGCAAUCUGCCCCUGACUCUGGGAUAAGCGCUGGAAACGGCGUCUAAUACCGGAUACGAGCUGCGAAGGCAUCUUCAGCAGCUGGAAAGAAUUUCGGUCAGGGAUGAGCUCGCGGCCUAUCAGCUUGUUGGUGAGGUAACGGCUCACCAAGGCGUCGACGGGUAGCCGGCCUGAGAGGGUGACCGGCCACACUGGGACUGAGACACGGCCCAGACUCCUACGGGAGGCAGCAGUGGGGAAUAUUGCACAAUGGGCGAAAGCCUGAUGCAGCAACGCCGCGUGAGGGACGACGGCCUUCGGGUUGUAAACCUCUUUUAGCAGGAAAGAAGCGAAAGUGACGGUACCUGCAGAAAAAGCGCCGGCUAACUACGUGCCAGCAGCCGCGGUAAUACGUAGGGCGCAAGCGUUAUCCGGAAUUAUUGGGCGUAAAGAGCUCGUAGGCGGUCUGUCGCGUCUGCUGUGAAAACCCGAGGCUCAACCUCGGGCCUGCAGUGGGUACGGGCAGACUAGAGUGCGGUAGGGGAGAUUGGAAUUCCUGGUGUAGCGGUGGAAUGCGCAGAUAUCAGGAGGAACACCGAUGGCGAAGGCAGAUCUCUGGGCCGUAACUGACGCUGAGGAGCGAAAGGGUGGGGAGCAAACAGGCUUAGAUACCCUGGUAGUCCACCCCGUAAACGUUGGGAACUAGUUGUGGGGUCCAUUCCACGGAUUCCGUGACGCAGCUAACGCAUUAAGUUCCCCGCCUGGGGAGUACGGCCGCAAGGCUAAAACUCAAAGGAAUUGACGGGGACCCGCACAAGCGGCGGAGCAUGCGGAUUAAUUCGAUGCAACGCGAAGAA
This 901-nucleotide ribosomal RNA is filed under the name Microbacterium sp. RNAcentral's name for it is "bacterial SSU rRNA". It matches the Rfam family "Bacterial small subunit ribosomal RNA", at positions 55 to 968 of the family's 1533-position model. Lineage: Bacteria; Bacillati; Actinomycetota; Actinomycetes; Micrococcales; Microbacteriaceae. The record is from RNAcentral.